UGAGGAAUAUUGGUCAAUGGGCGAGAGCCUGAACCAGCCAAGUCGCGUGAAGGAAGACUGCCUUAUGGGUUGUAAACUUCUUUUAUACAGGAAUAAAAAGGCUUACGUGUAGGCCAUUGCAAGUACUGUAUGAAUAAGCAUCGGCUAACUCCGUGCCAGCAGCCGCGGUAAUACGGAGGAUGCGAGCGUUAUCCGGAUUUAUUGGGUUUAAAGGGUGCGCAGGCGGGCUUUUAAGUCAGCGGUGAAAUCUGGACGCUUAACGUCCAAACUGCCGUUGAAACUGGGAGUCUUGAGUAUGGAUGAAGUAGGCGGAAUUCGUUGUGUAGCGGUGACAUGCAUAGAUAUAACGAGGAACUCCGAUUGCGUAGGCAGCUUACUAAGCCAUAACUGACGCUCAUGCACGAAAGCGUGGGGGAUCAAACAGGAUUAGAUACCCUGGUAGUCCACGCCGUAAAACGAUGAUUACUAGUUGUAUGCGAUAUGAUAGUAUGUGACUAAGCGAAAGCGAUAAGUAAUCCACCUGGGGAGUACGCCGGCAACGGUGAAACUCAAAUGAAUUGACGGGGUCAUAGCUGUUUCCUG
This 582-nucleotide ribosomal RNA is filed under the name uncultured bacterium. RNAcentral describes it as "partial 16S ribosomal RNA". It matches the Rfam family "Bacterial small subunit ribosomal RNA", at positions 355 to 1376 of the family's 1533-position model. The record is from RNAcentral.